UUCGUGAACGCUGGCGGUAUGCUUAACACAUGCAAGUCGAACGAACUCUUCGGAGUGAGUGGCGGACGGGUGAGUAACGCGUGAGAAUCUGCCUGUGGGUCGGGGACAACCACUGGAAACGGUGGCUAAUACCGGAUGAGCCGAAAGGUAAAAAAUUUAUUGCCCACAGAUGAGCUCGCGUCUGAUUAGCUAGUUGGUAAGGUAAAAGCGUACCAAGGCGACGAUCAGUAGCUGGUCUGAGAGGAUGAGCAGCCACACUGGGACUGAGACACGGCCCAGACUCCUACGGGAGGCAGCAGUGGGGAAUUUUCCGCAAUGGGCGAAAGCCUGACGGAGCAAGACCGCGUGGGGGAGGAAGGUUUUUGGAUCGUAAACCCCUUUUGUCAAGGAAGAAGUUCUGACGGUACUUGACGAAUAAGCCUCGGCUAACUCCGUGCCAGCAGCCGCGGUAAUACGGAGGAGGCAAGCGUUAUCCGGAAUGAUUGGGCGUAAAGCGUCUGUAGGUGGCCAGCUAAGUCUGCUGUUAAAGAUCACAGCUCAACUGUGGGAAGGCAGUGGAAACUGGCAAGCUAGAGGCUGGUAGGGGUAAAGGGAAUUCCCGGUGUAGCCGGUGAAAUGCGUAAUAUCGGGAAAGAACACCGGUGGCGAAAAGCCCUUUACUUGGGCCCCGACCUGA
This 676-nucleotide ribosomal RNA is filed under the name uncultured cyanobacterium. RNAcentral's name for it is "bacterial SSU rRNA". It matches the Rfam family "Bacterial small subunit ribosomal RNA", at positions 24 to 743 of the family's 1533-position model. Lineage: Bacteria; Bacillati; Cyanobacteriota. The record is from RNAcentral.